This is a non-coding RNA of Aedes albopictus (Asian tiger mosquito), 74 nucleotides long. The record is from Rfam. NCBI's taxonomy places the organism in Eukaryota, Metazoa, Arthropoda, Insecta, Diptera, Culicidae.
UGUUCUGUAGCUUAGUUAGUUGAAGCGCCGGCCAAGCCAAUACGGAGUCGUAAGUUCGAAUCCCACCAGAACGU